GCAAGCGAGACAAGUAGAACAUGAAUUUUAAUGAAUGUUUUGAUGAUUUGGGUGCUAAAAUAGAUGAGAGAUGUCAAUAUUUUGGUUCAAAUGGAUGUUUUAGGUGGUUUUGGACUGUUCCGGAUGGGAGGGGGACCUGGUAUGGACAAAGUCAGCCAGACCAUGAUUGAGCUUAAGGAUUGUGCUGCGGAUGCGGCCUGUGCAGUUCCGGGAGAAAGUCACUGUCUUGGGCAUUGCGGUCUGGUAUCAGGUCUGGAUGAUCCUUGCCUGACUCCGGGUUUGUGUACACCUCAAUCCGACUCCCUGUCCGGUACCAUGGCCGCAGUGGUGCAGCCCUUGUGGACGAUCCAUCGACAUCCUGAAAGGUCAACACUUCACCAAGCUGGGAAAAUUGAUCCUGAUAGUCAUCCCCAGGUAGUGAAAUGAAUGUACACUGAACUACAGAGGAAUCACACCCAAAUGACUUUUCUGACAUUAGUGUGGCCCCUCGGGCAGGAAUUCCUUAGCAAACAUGCUUUUUUGCAUGGGGACUGUGGCAUUUUUGCAAAACUUAAGCUUUCAACGCUGGAUUUUAAAGAGAACACUUAAUAAAAUGAAGCCAACAGGACUUAUUUUAAUGAGAGAGACUAUCUGGAUGAGCAACAAAUGUCACAUUGUGUCGUAAGCUGUUGAAGGAGCGAUUUGCGCCAUUUCAAGUGUUAAUUUUGGGUAGCAGGCUUGUAUCGGCUUGAAAGCUGCAAAUUAUUCCUCUCAUCAUGAUAGCAUUAAUUAUUUUAAUUGCAAUGUGUAUGUUUAGAUUGUAAGUGAAGCUUUUAAUAAUAAUUUUCUUGAAAAACAUGAUUUUAUAUGCUGUCAGUGAGUUUUUUUGUGUGAAAAAAGUGCUUAAAAUAAAAAAAAGUCUCCUUUUUCAUCAAGAAAAGUACACUGAUUCACAAUCAAUACAUUUAUUUGGGCCUUUUGCUGAUAUAUUGGUGAAUUUCGCAUGCAAUGAUCCCAGUUUUUGCCAUAAAAGUUACGCGUAACAAUAAUUAGAGACACAAAAUCAGCUGUCGUCACUUAGACUAAAAAUCAUGCAUUCCGACUUGACUGCGGCCAAUUUAGUCACCGCUUUAAACGGCCAUUUUAAGGCCUUUUCCCCCCUCCGAAUGCACUGAAAUUGCAUAUUCAUUGUGGAAAUAGUUUAAAUCUCAUGUGGAGAAAGUUUGAAAAGGAUAGGACAAAGUUGAGUUCCCUUAAAGGUUACAUUACACUAAAUCAUUGUGUAUCCCUCCGUGGUCCAUUCGAAAGUAGUGCCUAUUUCUAAAGAGUUCCUUUUCUCUUCUUGAAUAUAAGCCAUUUAACAAUGUGAGACAUGUCUUUUGUGGUUAUUUGUAAUAUCCUGUAUGUGUCUGGAGUACUUUGAUGCCUUGGAUUGGAAGCUAACUUAAAAGAUGGACUUUUGAGGGUGUGUUUUCUAUUGUGUGGGGCUUUUGUCGAAAUUAGGAUUCCGAAACACGUUUUUCAACGGUGGGUUCAUUCGACAGCGAUUUACUUUCUUAGAAGUUGCGAGACGGUAUGUUUUUGAUUGCAAUUAUUGGAAGAGGACAGAUCCAUCUUUAAAAUGAUACCAGGUUCGGAAAAAUUGAUACGUCGAAAAGGCAAGAAAAAUGCUGUGAAAGUUGUCAGUUUUAUAAUGGGACCCUAUGGGAAUCGGAAUUAGUGUAAUAUAACCUUAAAAAAGCACAUUUACUGCAAUGUCAAGGUCACAUUGAUUCGUCUGCAAUCGAGACAAGUAGAACAUGAAUUUUAAUGAAUGUUUUGAUGAUUUGGGUGCUAAAAUAGAUGAGAGAUGUCAAUAUUUUGGUUCAAAUGGAUGUUUUAGGUGGUUUUGGACUGUUCCGGAUGGGAGGGGGACCUGGUAUGGACAAGUAAGGGUUACAUUUCCAACAAAUCUUGAAUGUAAAUAUUAUUAUGUCCAAAGAUUGAAGUUUCAGGUGGAGAGCAAGAUGAAAAAUAUGCCAAAUCACAUGAAUGCAACCCAUUUAUGCCAUUUUUCUCUUUGUUUGUAGGCCUGACCAUUUGUCCCUUUUGCCGCAGACGGUCAACAAUCCGCUAGCUGUCUUGCUCUGACUGGUGCACUGGACAUGAUUUCAAUGAGAGUCAUCAUACUGAUUGUUUAAUUCAAACAUGAAUUUCAGUUUGUUCGUUAGAGUACUAACUUAGCUGUGUAUUUACAGUGGACGUAGUGGUGCGUCGCAUGCGGUAGACUAGGUAUUUCCAUAUAUACACUAUGUUUACAGAAUUGCGGCCGGUGAAGCAACAUAGCUGAUGAGUAAAUAGCGCUAGUUCUUCAGACAAAUAACUUUAUUUUCAACCUAUAAAGCAUAUUUAGCUGUAGGUGGGGCCAUUUAGCUGUAAGAUCUGGCUUUGGUUCUGUUAAGCCCUUAGAGUAAUGAAUUUCAGAGUGAAGACCAUAGCGCCUUUUCCUAGUCGAGUAUCGGGCAGCUGUAUGUCUUUUCAGAAAUGCACAUGUCUUCUUUAGUAUGUCAUUGUGAUUGCUUUUAAGAUAGGCAAUAAACUCAUAACCUUUAGAAAAAGGAGCAUCUGUAAAUUCAGAUUUCACUAUUUCAGAGUCAGCCAGACCAUGAUUGAGCUUAAGGAUUGUGCUGCGGAUGCGGCCUGUGCAGUUCCGGGAGAAAGUCACUGUCUUGGGCAUUGCGGUCUGGUAUCAGGUCUGGAUGAUCCUUGCCUGACUCCGGGUUUGUGUACACCUCAAUCCGACUCCCUGUCCGGUACCAUGGCCGCAGUGGUGCAGCCCUUGUGGACGAUCCAUCGACAUCCUGAAAGGUCAACACUUCACCAAGCUGGGAAAAUUGAUCCUGAUAGUCAUCCCCAGGUAGUGAAAUGAAUGUACACUGAACUACAGAGGAAUCACACCCAAAUGACUUUUCUGACAUUAGUGUGGCCCCUCGGGCAGGAAUUCCUUAGCAAACAUGCUUUUUUGCAUGGGGACUGUGGCAUUUUUGCAAAACUUAAGCUUUCAACGCUGGAUUUUAAAGAGAACACUUAAUAAAAUGAAGCCAACAGGACUUAUUUUAAUGAGAGAGACUAUCUGGAUGAGCAACAAAUGUCACAUUGUGUCGUAAGCUGUUGAAGGAGCGAUUUGCGCCAUUUCAAGUGUUAAUUUUGGGUAGCAGGCUUGUAUCGGCUUGAAAGCUGCAAAUUAUUCCUCUCAUCAUGAUAGCAUUAAUUAUUUUAAUUGCAAUGUGUAUGUUUAGAUUGUAAGUGAAGCUUUUAAUAAUAAUUUUCUUGAAAAACAUGA
RNA transcript from Dreissena polymorpha, 3301 nucleotides. RefSeq lists it as uncharacterized. Lineage: Eukaryota; Metazoa; Mollusca; Bivalvia; Myida; Dreissenidae. The record is from RefSeq and is a predicted model, not a curated record. The transcript is spliced from 4 exons.